ACAAAAUGGUGGCACCGAUAAAAAAAUAAGACUAUAAAUGUAAAGUCAAAAUUCUGAUUUCAUAGCCUUGUCAGCGGCCAUCACAACUACAUGUUUGGGUUAAAAUUCGCUCCACAUAUAUAUUCGAGGAAUAAUUAUGGUUGGAAGCAUAAUUUGGCUACAGUAGGAAAGACUUUUGGACAGACUGAAUACGAAUCAACGAACAAACCAAUGACAGAUUAAAUCACGUUAUUGAUGUAGGGGACCCUUGUACACUGAAUACUGUUUCUUUUAAUUAUUAUGUUGAACCAUCCACCAACUCACAUAGUGAUUUAGUAAUACGAAUUAUUAUUUUCAAAGUCUAAGUAGGCAACCAAAUAUACUCUACGACAUGGAUGGUUAAUAAAUCAUUAACGUUUGACUUGACAGCAUUUCCUACACUUACGUAUCAAUUUUGAAAUUUGGCAGUAUUCAAUUGGAUUAUGUAUGGAAGAGUUUCGAGAAGAAUUCCUUGAUUUUGACGUAGAGUAUACACAGUUUCGACAAACUUUAAAUCUAUUUUUUAAAAAUCCAUGAGAAUGCAUCUGUGAAGAUCUUCAUUUGUGUCUCUCUCCUCCCAUUUUCCUCGAAGAGUGCAAUACUAUCAAUGGUUUCUAAAUACUCUAGAUCAGGAUGACUAUCUCCAAUAUCUCCAGAAUUUUUGGACCGCUUUCUAUGAUGGAAACGUAAAUGCCGCAAGAAACCAAGACCAAAUUUUAAUCCCAUUUUUUAAUCAACUAGUUGAUGAUUGAUGAUUACUUUCACCAGGAUGGUGUUACAUUUUAUGACGAUAGGAUCUCUAGUCUCAAUACACCACCGUAACUGUAGGGAGGAAUCUUAAACUAAAAUACUGUAUUACAUUUAGAAUGUUUAUUAAACUUCGUACAAUUACAAUAUGGCAACUACACAACUCUAUCUAAAUCUUAAAACCUAAUUUUAAGCACAGCCAUUCACAACCGCAAUUACUUUUGAAUACUCUUUUUGAAUUUCGCUCUCUCCAGUAAUCGAGAUCAAACCGGUGGCAGAAUCCUUAAAAAGCAAAUCUUUCUUUCCUUUGAAUGAUCCAAA
Molecule: long non-coding RNA, 1086 nt
Organism: Zophobas morio
Lineage: Eukaryota; Metazoa; Arthropoda; Insecta; Coleoptera; Tenebrionidae
Exons: 3
Source: RefSeq, a predicted model, not a curated record